UACGAAGGGGCGUAGCGUUGUUCGGAAUCACUGGGCGUAAAGACGCACGUAGGCGGACCAUUAAGUCAGGGGUGAAAGCCUGGAGCUCAACUCCAGAACUGCCUUUGAUACUGAUGGUCUCGAGUUCGGAAGAGGUUGGUGGAACUGCGAGUGUAGAGGUGAAAUUCGUAGAUAUUCGCAAGAACACCAGUGGCGAAGGCGGCACUGUC
This 209-nucleotide ribosomal RNA is filed under the name uncultured bacterium. Its description in RNAcentral is "partial 16S ribosomal RNA". It matches the Rfam family "Bacterial small subunit ribosomal RNA", at positions 524 to 733 of the family's 1533-position model. The record is from RNAcentral.